AUACAGAGGGUGCGAGCGUUAAUCGGAAUUACUGGGCGUAAAGGGCGCGUAGGUGGAUAAUUAAGUUAGAUGUGAAAUCCCUCGGCUCAACCGAGGAAUGUCAUUUAAUACUGGUUGUCUAGAGUGCGGGAGAGGAAAGUAGAAUUUCCGGUGUAGCGGUGAAAUGCGUAGAUAUCGGAAGGAAUACCAGUGGCGAAGGCGGCUUUCUGGCCUGACACUGACACUGAGGCGCGAAAGCGUGGGUAGCAAACAGGAUUAGAUACCCCGGUAGUCC
This 274-nucleotide ribosomal RNA is filed under the name uncultured bacterium. Its description in RNAcentral is "partial 16S ribosomal RNA". It matches the Rfam family "Bacterial small subunit ribosomal RNA", at positions 523 to 796 of the family's 1533-position model. The record is from RNAcentral.